RNAcentral lists this unclassified non-coding RNA (282 nucleotides) under Penaeus chinensis. RNAcentral describes it as "krueppel-like factor 10, transcript variant X1". The record is from RNAcentral. Lineage: Eukaryota; Metazoa; Arthropoda; Malacostraca; Decapoda; Penaeidae.
CUCCCCCCCUCCCUCCCCUCUCGACGUCCUUCUCGUCGCCUGCACGUUGGAGUUUUAUCUCUCGAGUCUUCCGCCGCAUCGCCAACAUGAGCACGGAGAUCUCUGACUUCCAAGACGUAAGUAAUGAGACAUAGCGAAGCAGCUGUAUCCGCAGAGAGGCCGUGUGUGUAAGUAGAGAGAGCUAAGAAAAGAGAGAGAGAGAGAGAGAGAUAGGUUAAUAGAUAGAUAGAGAGAGAGAGAGAGAGAGAGAGAGAUGGGGGAAGGAAGAGAAAGAGAGAGAUA